RNAcentral lists this long non-coding RNA (1002 nucleotides) under Manihot esculenta (cassava). Its description in RNAcentral is "long non-coding RNA (MESC_LNC003128)". The record is from RNAcentral. Lineage: Eukaryota; Viridiplantae; Streptophyta; Magnoliopsida; Malpighiales; Euphorbiaceae.
GGCUGGCAACAAUAAGGCUUUGCAGAUCACACUCCAGUGAAAUUUUGACUGUAAUCCAUAAAAGUGUCACAUCAGGUAUUGGGAGGUAACACAGAUUAAAUUUUACAUAUAAUAUUAGAGACUGGUAGCUGAUGGGAUGGUAGGAAUGAGUUCUAAAAGAAAAUAUGCCAGGCUGAAUAAUAAGUCCCAUUUCUUAAACAUGUUGUACAAGUGAAAGAAACAAGAGUUAUCCAACAAUAUUUUUGUAAGUGGAAGACACAGUUUUUCCAACAAUAUUUUAGUGAAUAAUUGGAUUCUCUCUGGGGUAGGAAAAUAGAAUAGCCUGAAUUAUUUCCAUUCCAUACUAAUCAGACAGUAGUUUUCCCUUUUAUUCCAUAUGCAAGGCAACUAUUAUUGCAGAGCAGAAGCACCAAGUGUACAAAAGUGUAGCUGCAAAGUUGUGAGAGAACCCAUAAGAAAGGACCCAUUCCAGAAACCAGUUAGAAAUGUUACAUUAUGGCAAGAUAGCAUACAAAAUCAAAGUAUAAAAAAUGAGCUACAAACUGUCCAACUUAUGUUAAUAUCAAUAUAACAAAAGCUGACAGCCUGGCACAAAAAGUGAGAUCAGUGCAAGCUUUGACACAUUACAAUAUGACCUAUCUGAAGGUGUUGAUGAGAAAACUGCACACGCAAAAUCAAGGUCAUAACUUUUACCCCACUGUGUCGUAGGCAUGAUAUUUGAACUUUCAAUGAGAAAUUAAGCUAAUCAUUAAGAACAUUUUAGUUUUGCAUAUAAUAAUCACAUAUAAAUGAUCCAGAAACAUCACCCCAAAUGAAGAGAUGAAAGGAGUUGCAGCAUACACCAUAAUCAAUAGCUUUAAUCACCAAAAAAAGAGCACCGGGUUGAGUAUAACUCUAGCUUAGAUCACACGCCAAAUCCUCUCUCAAAGUUUCCUAAGUAAUCUUAAAGCUUUCAAAAACAAAGAUUCAGGCUGCGAAAGAUACUUGAUAAGAGAAUAAUCU